UGGGGAAUAUUGCACAAUGGGCGAAAGCCUGAUGCAGCCAUGCCGCGUGUGUGAAGAAGGCCUUCGGGUUGUAAAGCACUUUCAGCGAGGAGGAAGGGUAGUGUGUUAAUAGCACAUUGCAUUGACGUUACUCGCAGAAGAAGCACCGGCUAACUCCGUGCCAGCAGCCGCGGUAAUACGGAGGGUGCAAGCGUUAAUCGGAAUUACUGGGCGUAAAGCGCACGCAGGCGGUUUGUUAAGUCAGAUGUGAAAUCCCCGCGCUUAACGUGGGAACU
RNAcentral lists this ribosomal RNA (275 nucleotides) under uncultured bacterium. RNAcentral's name for it is "partial 16S ribosomal RNA". It matches the Rfam family "Bacterial small subunit ribosomal RNA", at positions 355 to 622 of the family's 1533-position model. The record is from RNAcentral.